This 221-nucleotide long non-coding RNA is filed under the name Lathyrus oleraceus (garden pea). Its description in RNAcentral is "Pisum sativum (pea) long non-coding RNA (PSAT_LNC032773)". The record is from RNAcentral. Lineage: Eukaryota; Viridiplantae; Streptophyta; Magnoliopsida; Fabales; Fabaceae.
UAUUUUAUUUCACUGAUUUUCUAUUUUUUUUUAUGAAUUUUCUCUUUUCUCCUUUGUUUUAAUUAGUUUAAAAAUAUUUUUCUGCAUUUUAAAAUUCCAAAAUUUUUAUUAUAUGUUUCUUAAUUUAUUUCCAAUCCUCCAUAAUUUUCUUGCCCAUUUAUUUAGUGUUUUGAAAGACUUUAUGGAUUUUCCAUUUUAUUUCUAUUUGAAAAAUCAUUUAA